RNAcentral lists this ribosomal RNA (253 nucleotides) under uncultured bacterium. RNAcentral describes it as "partial 16S ribosomal RNA". It matches the Rfam family "Bacterial small subunit ribosomal RNA", at positions 524 to 776 of the family's 1533-position model. The record is from RNAcentral.
UACAGAGGGUGCAAGCGUUGUUCGGAAUUAUUGGGCGUAAAGGGAGUGUAGGCGGCUAGGCAAGUCUUCUGUGAAAUCUACGGGCUCAGCCUGUAACGUGCAGAGGAAACUAUCUGGCUAGAGUGUCGGAGAGGAUAGGGGAAUACCCAGUGUAGAGGUGAAAUUCGUAGAGAUUGGGUGGAACACCAGUGGCGAAGGCGCCUGUCUGGCUGACAACUGACGCUGAGACUCGAAAGCAUGGGGAGCAAACAGG